Molecule: long non-coding RNA, 838 nt
Organism: Ictalurus punctatus (channel catfish)
Lineage: Eukaryota; Metazoa; Chordata; Actinopteri; Siluriformes; Ictaluridae
Source: Ensembl
UUGAUGGAGAACGUCGGGGUUUGAUGGAGAACGUCGGGGUUUGAUGGAGAACGUCGGGGUUUGAUGGAGAACGGUGAUGUUUGAUGGAGAACGUCGGGGUUUGAUGGAGAACGUCGAGGUUUGAUGGAGAACGUUGGGGUUUGAUGGUCAAAAUUGGUUAUUAAAAAACAUUUACUGUUCCCAAUUUCAAAUAUACAAUUUAAAAACACCCACAGUGAACAACACAACUGAAAACUAAAAUAAAAGAGAACACUCGGAGGUUGUGUUUUUAAAUCACUCCAUGUUUAUUUCCACAUUGUGUUUGGGAGAUGAGUUUAGGACAACACGGUCCUGUUACACACAGCAGAACCUACAGCUCCAGUUUGAACAGUCAUUUAGUUUGGAUAGAAGAGAUCAUCUCCAUACAGUUCCAUAUACACCAUACACACGCUAUGUACACACACACACACACACACACACACACACACACCUUACCCUUAUACUGACCAUGAGAGAACACAAGUAUGAGUAGAACCUCGUACGUAAGCAGAAACAUGUCCAGUUUGAUCUCGUCACAGUUCCACACGCCGUUCUGUGACCGCUCUUCACCAUCAGUGCAUCAGAACAUCUUCACAUUAACACCUGAUCCUGUUUCAGCAGCAGGUUUCCACUUCCCCUUCCCUCCUGGAGGGAGGAUCAUUGUUAGAAAUGCCACUACAAUCACAACACCUCCAGAAGAAGUGAUUCGUCCUUCAGUGUUUACAAAAAAAUAAUAAUAAUAAGAUCAGUAGUCCAUCUGUCAAUCAAAACUCAGCCAUGUUUGGUCUCAGCAGGUCUCUGUGUAAUCCAAAUCCAAAAA